This 106-nucleotide small nucleolar RNA is filed under the name Gossypium arboreum. RNAcentral's name for it is "Plant small nucleolar RNA R71". It matches the Rfam family "Plant small nucleolar RNA R71". Rfam says of the family: R71 is a member of the C/D box family of snoRNAs containing the C (UGAUGA) and D (CUGA) box motifs. Lineage: Eukaryota; Viridiplantae; Streptophyta; Magnoliopsida; Malvales; Malvaceae. The record is from Rfam by way of RNAcentral.
ACCCAUGGUGAGGGCACCUUCUUAAUAAGUUCUUAUACCUCUCCCAUGCAUCAUAUAAGGUCUCUAAAUCUAUUUGCACAAAGGAAGAGAUAUCAUUCCUCAACUU